Molecule: unclassified non-coding RNA, 323 nt
Filed under: fungal sp.
Lineage: Eukaryota; Fungi
Description: partial internal transcribed spacer region
Rfam family: Eukaryotic small subunit ribosomal RNA (bases 1-46)
Source: RNAcentral
AAGUCGUAACAAGGUAACCGUAGGUGAACCUGCGGUUGGAUCAUUAACAAGAUUAUGAUCUGGAUCAAUGUGGGUUUCUGGAGUGAUUGGAUUUGGUUCCUCCUCCAUGCUCAUGUUGGUCCAAAACCCCAACAUCUUUGUGAACUGUUUUACCUUUUGUCUGGCGAUGGUUUGGAGCUCUGGUUCCUUUCCACUGUCCGGACAAUACCAACCUAAUUUACUUUUUGUCUAUAACAAUGGAUGCAUUCAACCAUCCAUACACAAUUUCUCUGAAAAGAAACAACUUUUGGCAACGGAUCUCUUGGCUCUCGCAUCGAUGAAGC